CCGGGCUCUCCUUCUCCUGGUUGUGCGUCUUCUACGUGGAUCGGUCUCCUCCAGCCAAGGGUCUGUGCGCCCCCUCCUCUUCUCAGACUCCUCUGCCCUCGCCCCUCCCUCUCACAUUCCCAACUCCCAAGGACAACUUGUCGCUCACUUCAGAAGCUGGGGCUUCUUUCCGUCCCCAGACUCUGCCUUCUCCCCUACUUCUUUUGUCUAUUUCUGCGUUUGACGGCUUCUCUGGGAAGCAUGCCUCGGAUCUGUUUCUCUCUUGUCUGUUAUCUCUCUCUCUUUCUCUCUCUCUCUCUCUCUCUCUCUCACACACACACACACACACACGCACGCACACACACACACCCUCUCUCUCCUCUCUGCCGGCCAUCUCGGCGCCUUUCCUCCGUGGCUCUGGCCUUUCAGAAGGCGUAAGGCCCUUUCUUUGAGCCGCGGUGAGGUGGUCCGACGGCGCCCCGGGGAGGGGGCAGGGCCGUCGGCGCCGCCGCCCCAGACCUAGACACUGCGCCCAGAGGCCUCUCAGGGACGGGGACGCGGCCGACGACCCGGAGCAGCCCGGCCCCCGGCCCCCGGCGCCAUCACCACGGUCCCUAGGCUCUGUCGCGCCCAAAGCCUCGGGCUCCUGCAGCCUGUGAAGACGCGCGGAGGACGGCGCGGUUCGGAGAGAGGGCGCCAAAGGCGACGCGCCAAAGGCGACGCGACGGCGGCCAGCUCCAGGCCGAGCCCUGCGUGUCUGAAGGAAGCGGCCCCUCCGCCGGCGCAGGACACAGAGCUGCGAGAGGAUCUCGUUCAGCGGGGACUCAACGCCAGGGCGCCGCCUAGAGGUCGGCCGCGGCCUCAGCCUCACACGCCAGCGACCGCUGAGCUGCUUCCCCAGCCGGAGCCAGAAAUUGCAAAAAAAAAUUAAUCCAGCUCGGGUCUCAGGGACGCAGCUUCUGGCACCUCUACUUCUCUGAGAUCCAACCCCCCAACAACAAUGAAGCCUAGGAAAGGAGACGGGCCAGGAAGGCUCAGAAACUUUUAUUCUUGGAAAGGGGUCUCAAUUUCGGUUUUUGUUUUGUUUUGAGGAUCCUGUGUUCUCCAUCUGUGUCUUCAUUGCCUCCUCUCAUCAUCCAAAUUGUCCAGCCCCCUCCAAUUAUGCUACAACUCUGUUUUAUCUUCAAGGAGGGAAGGAAGUAGGGAAAAGUUACCCCUAAAUCUUACAGCUUGGUCAUCUGCAUUUUCAGUUUUCUGAAUAAUUUGGAGAUCGGUGUGCUUUUGGAAGAGUAUCCAGAAAACUGUUGAGGGUGAAAAGAAACGUUGCCUAAGUGGCCUUUACUCAGAGUGAUCAUCAGCUCGAUAAUAUCUGAGUGACAUUCAGGAGGGGGCUUGUUGGCACGAGUGCCUCUGUCGGUGGGUGUCUGAGCUGAGUAUUUGAAAGUUGACUGCUCUGGGGCCAGGCGACCUCGGAAUGAGAAGGCUGGCUGGCAUCUAUGGGAAUGGGUUUGAGGUGUCAUUUGGCCCCAGGCAGAGAGUUUUAUUUUUUAGGCCGGGAUCCAUGGCCUGGGUUCUGGGGAUGUGGGCAGAGGGAAGCCACAAAGCCCCUGAAAAGCGUAUGCAAAACUUGUGUAUGCACAGGUGUGUCAUUUUAAGGCUGUGGCCUCUUCAGAUUUUCCAGAGUCUAAGACUCUAAAAUGGUUCAAUCUCCUUUCCACGGCCCAGGGAGCCACAGAGAUCCUGGUCAGCAAGGGGCAGGGAGCCAGCACACUAACUUGCCCCCGCUUCAGGCCCUGGGGUGGGGCAGGGGCUCUGGAGUAACAGUCUUGACUGGUGUGGAAACUGCUGGCCUCUCAGUCUGGCCCUCCGCCCAUCGGUAACAGCUCCCAGAGGCAAACCCUGAUAGGAGGGGUGACAGCUGGUGGCUGCCAUCACAGUAUUUUUAAUAAAAAUAUAGCAUGAUAAAGAGCGAAA
This 1953-nucleotide long non-coding RNA is filed under the name Equus caballus (horse). RNAcentral describes it as "lncRNA (ENSECAG00000051369.1)". Lineage: Eukaryota; Metazoa; Chordata; Mammalia; Perissodactyla; Equidae. The record is from RNAcentral.